Molecule: ribosomal RNA, 253 nt
Filed under: uncultured bacterium
Lineage: Bacteria
Description: partial 16S ribosomal RNA
Rfam family: Bacterial small subunit ribosomal RNA
Source: RNAcentral
GACAGAGGUGCCAAGCGUUAGGCGGAAUCACUGGGCUUAAAGCGUGUGUAGGCGGAUCGUUAAGUACCUUGUGAAAUCCCACGGCUUAACCGUGGAACUGCUCGGUAUACUGGCGGUCUUGAGCAACCUAGGGGCGAGCGGAACAAAUGGUGGAGCGGUGAAAUGCGUAGAUAUCAUUUGGAACGCCAAUGGUGAAAACAGCUCGCUGGGGGUUUGCUGACGCUGAGACACGAAAGCCAGGGGAGCAAACCGG